GACGAACGCUGGCGGCGUGCUUAACACAUGCAAGUCGAACGGAAAGGCCCUGCUUGCGUGGUGUUCGAGUGGCGCAAACGGGUGUAAAACACGGGAGUACCGCGCCCAUCUUCUUGGGAUAACUGCAGAACUCUGGGUAAUAUAGCGUAGAGCAGCCGCUGAUUCUCGGUGGGGGUCAGAAAGUUUUGGCAGUUGGGGAUGGGCUCGCGGCCUAUCAGUUUGUUGGUGGGGUAGUGGCUUAGCAAGGCUUCGACGGGUAGCCGGCCUGAGAGGGGGGCCGGCCACAUUGGGACUGAGAUACGGCCCAGACUCCUACGGGAGGCAGCAGUGGGGAAUAUUGCACAAUGGGCGCAAGCCUGAUGCAGCAACGCCGCGUGGGGGAUGACGGCCUUCGGGUUGUAAACCGCUUUCGCCUGGGACGAAGCUUUGGUGACGGUACCUGUUGAAGAAGCACCGGCUAACUACGUG
This 468-nucleotide ribosomal RNA is filed under the name uncultured bacterium. RNAcentral describes it as "partial 16S ribosomal RNA". It matches the Rfam family "Bacterial small subunit ribosomal RNA", at positions 28 to 507 of the family's 1533-position model. The record is from RNAcentral.